Long non-coding RNA from Cyprinus carpio carpio, 5871 nucleotides. NCBI's taxonomy places the organism in Eukaryota, Metazoa, Chordata, Actinopteri, Cypriniformes, Cyprinidae. The record is from Ensembl.
UUUUGCAUCCUGAAAGCUGGUUAUAUGGACUAUAUCACAUUAUUUCUGGACUUUUGUAUUUAUUUUUGCCUUAAUACUGGAAAUCUACGUCUUUAUGGGAGAAUUUUGAGGAGUGAUGCAUUUGGAGAAGUGAUGAUUUUGGGUAUCUAUCUAGUUUGUCAUAUGUUGGAGUCAUGUACGUAUUGUGUCAUACAGCCAAACACGGUCUCAUUUCAAAGAUGUUUCAUGUUUAUUAUAAUGGUUUCUGUAGUCUACAUAGCUGUAACCUAUAUAUGUAUGUGUCUAUGCAUGUGUGUGUGUGUGUGUGUGUGUGUGUGUAUAUAUAUAUAUAUAUAUAUAUAUAUAAACUUAUUCAUAGGCUAGCUGAAGCCAUUAUAAUAAGAUGAAUCAUUAUAAUAAGAUGAAUCUGGUUGAAAUGUUGCUUUAGAGUAGAUUGAAAACCUUUGAUAUUUGAAGAAAACUGAAAGCUACUUAUGAGGUUUCCCAGAAGAGCAGAUGAAGGUUAAUUCCAGGAAAUUUUGUUAUAGUGAAGAGGUCACUUUUUUUGCUGGUGUGGCCGACCUGACCAAUCAGAUCUCAGCAGUGACAGAAUAGGUGGAGGGAGUUUCCCAAGGAGAUUACUUAACCUAAAGAACAACUAUGAUGUCAUUGUGAUGUCAGUGUGAGGAAGCACAUGGUCUGUAUUUACAAACAAGAGUAAGACAGGAUGAAGAACGAAGGAUUUUACCAGCAAAAAAUGUUUAAUGUUCUGAGAUUAGGAGUUUUUGUGGGAUUGUUUUGUUACUUUGUUGUUGAGUUAUUUUGUUUUUUUAGAGGGGUCUUAUAACCAGGAAUUCAGGAAUUUAUCCAGCAGAGUGUGAUUUGAGUAACUUAUUAUUUAUUUCCAGCCUGAUCCAAACACACAGUCCUGCCACUUCAUGGUUUUUCUGUUUAUGUGGACAGGGCUUAUCAUAAGCCAAAGUUUGUUUCCUGACUUCUCAACUUUCCAAACUCAGGUUUUCUUUCUUUCUUUCAUUCUUUCUUUCUGAGCUGCUGGAACUCUCUGUGUUAUCAUUGGUAAGACCUACAAGGUUUUGGUGAAAAGGAAAUGCUUCGAUCUGAACAAAAACUUUCAAAUUCUUGUGGUUUGGCUGUUCCUUCUUGUGCGUCUAGUUGUUACAGGGGCACGUUUAGGUCAGUUAGAGGAGCUGACAAAUCACAGACUGUACUUUCCAUUUCUAAUCACUGCAGUUAAUGUAUCUUAUUAAUUUGACUGUCUUUUUAAAUGGAUAGAAUUUAUUGAUCUAAAAAAAACUGAAUUUAAACUUUUAUUAGGGCAAAACAUGUUGCUGAUUAUUUCUUACAUUAUUUUCUCUGCUUUUCAGUUUCAAGGUCUGACACUGCCCAGUUUAUCUUCUUUUAGAGGCUGAAUGUGUAAUUAAUCAUUCUUAGAGUGGCAGUGAAUCUGUGUGUGUGUGUGUGUGUGUGUGUGUGUGUGUUCGUCCCUGUAUGAUGCCCUUAGCCCUGAACAGUAAGAGUUUAUGUGCUGAGGUUCAAGUAUCAGCACAUGGUCUCUUACUUGUAGGGAAAAGAGUCUCUAUCAACCUCUCAUCACUUUGUUUCAAAGUAUUCACUUUGUUUUGGAAGAUCAACAUUUAGAUUUGAUCAUUCAGCAACAAAUAUGGAAUGUCGCAAGUUUAGCAUACAUGAGGCAACAAUUUCCAGAUCAGAGAGUUUCCAGAUCAAACUUUUUUUAUUAACUCAGGAAAAAAAAAAAAAAACAGUUAACCCUGGGCAAAACUAUUGAUUUUACUGCUAAGUAACACAGAAGCUAGAAAAUAAUAAAAAUGCAGAAGAACAGAGAAAAUAUUUUUAAAAUCAAUUGUUGCCUUCUAAAUGAAAAAAAAAAAUUUUAAUGAUCAACAGGGAUUAGAUGCUAUCUUUUUUUUCUUUCUUUUUUUUUUAACUUGGACCCCAAAAAUGCUUUAAAAUGUAGAUAACCCUGGCUACAAAUGUUUAAUUAAUCAAAACUGGCAUAAUUUUAAAAUAUUAAAACCAAUACAGGGGACAUUGUCUUUGGAUGUUGAGAUUUUAUUUACUUAAAUUUUCAUAGAAACAUUUCUGAAUAUAAUUUCUUUCUAUUACAUUUAAUGGUACCAAGCACAACACUGGCCCACAGAUUGUUUUCCGCAACUAUAAACUCUCUCCUCAAGAGGGCGAUGUGUGACUGCUAAAAUUGGAUAUUUUUUAGCAUUUGGGCCAUGUUCUAUUGCACACUACUAAAAAUUGUUGCAGAUUAACAUACAUUUAGACAAGACAUCUCUGCCAGUUUGAUAUGUAUUAAUUACUCACUGAAUUCACUAAAACACCUGCCCAGCUGUCCCAGAUGGCACUGCAACCGGUAAAAAGAAAAUGAAAUUGUCUGGAAAAAAAGGAGCAAUCGUUGGCACUCCACAUUAGAAUGAAUCACUGUGCCAUCAAGGGAACAAACUGAAUCAUCAGGAAAUCAUUAUAGAGAAACAAUUGUAUAUUCUGGUACAGUACAUGAAGCAAUUACAUUGGAAAGCGAAUCUGCUUGUAUUGAAGUAUUUAAUGUAUGUUGUGCAAAGAAUAAAGUUUUUGGUCUCAAAUGAAGAACUCAAUGUAGCUUUGAUGUUUUACAGCAGGCAAAGUCUGAGAAAAACAUGUUUACUUUAAUGUUGACAGAGACGUCUUUUAACAGAGUUUCAGAAGGAGGUAAAAAUACAAAUAUAUAAAGUCAGACUUUGACCUACUUUUUGAAAUCAUAUCAUUCAGCUUCUUAGAAAAUCCUCACUGUGCUACAGUUUCUGGUCACGUGCGUGAAACAUAAUUCAGCCAGCUAGUCGCAAUCAUUUCUGAUGCUUUCAGUUGUUGCUAUAACACCUGCCCCUUGGCGACCAUGGCUGUAGACUGUUACCAUGUGCCAUCGCUACAGUAACAAUCUAAAGCCACGGUCACCAUGGAGACAGCAGAGGUAGGGAUGAGGGGGUGUUGGCAUGGUAACUGGAAAUAGUGCAGUUCUAUUGGCUUGUUAGAUGAAAAGCCAUGCCUCCAUAGCACAGGACUCCCCCAAUACAGGCUCAGACAUACACAACUGUUUGCCGUCACAGCCGAGUAUUUCUGAUGAAUGCGUGCAUGCACAUUUUAACAGGGUUCACUUUUCAAUCACAACCGAAGUUAUACAGAUGAAAGGCUAAAACCCUUCUGUAUUAGUGUUGUGUGUUUGUGAUGCUGGAGCCAGACUUCAGUAGCCAUGACUGUAGACUGUUACUGUACUGUUGGACUCCAUAAGCAGUAAGCAGUCUAGAGCCAAGGUCAUGAAGUGCUGGCAUACUGGUGAAGACUCACAUAAUAGCCAAGCUGGGCAAGACCGAGGUGAAGUCAGUUCACAUGGAGAGACAGAACAGCUACUGCAAUUAAAGAGAAGUGUUACAAAAAACACAGCAGAACUCAAAUAAAUUUUAAUAAUCACAUAAAAUGAAUCUAGAUAAGAUAUUGCUUUAAUAUGAUUAAUGAUUAUGGCCAUGAAUCUGAUGCAUAACCGGGUUAUUUUAGUAGAAGGGCAGUGGUUUGCCCAAGCAGAAUGUUCUCGGGAACAUUGAUUCCCGUGAGCUUCGCUGCUGGGUCAGUGACGUAGAUGCUGGCUUGAACCCCUUGAAAGUUGUUCCAUUUCCUAAAAGCUUUUUUUUAUUAUUAUUGUUUUAUUCUCCAUAUAUUACUUGAUAUUAGUGACUUUUACUGGUAGCCCAAUGCUAGACUGCUUAAAUUAAUUUAAAUGCAUUCAGGUCUGAAAGGAAGAUGUAGACUUGACAGCAAUAACCGCUGUCCAUGGUGCUGAAAACACAGCUUUUCAUUCAGAAAUUGCUAUUAAAUUCUACAAAUAAUUACAAAGAAAAGGCAACUAAUAUACUGAACUGAACAUUUUGAAGUAGUAAGACUGAAAUGGUAUUUUCGUGUAAAACCUACUCAAAUAAUCUUGUUUGGUAGCGUUCUAUGCCUCAAGGUGGUGAUAAAUAAAUAGUAAAAUGAAAUAUAAUGGAGAAGUUAGGCAGAAUAUGAUGAACUGACACUGACUUUUAUAGCACAUUUCUGCAUACAACUUAAGUGUUAUUCUGCUCCAACUAUCAUAUUUGAGUUCCACAUAUUAAAAGAAUUAAGACAUCAGAAACGAAAAAAAAAAUGAAAAAGAGUGCAGGGUGAGCAAAUAAUGUUAGAAUAUUAAUUUUGGUUGCACUGUUCCUUUAAGAAACAAAAUAUAUUUCGUGUACUUGUUUCAGUUCAAAAUAGCCUAUUGGUCAUUAGUGUCAUUGGCUAUGCUUAUUCAAUUGUACAUUCAUUAAUUUAGAGAGAAUGAAUAAAGAUGUCAUCAAUGAAUGUGAAACGGACCCAUCUUUAACACCCCCACUAAAAAUAAAAGGAUUGUGCUGCAAUCGUUUGUGUGUGAGUGUGUGUUUGAAGCUGAGCGCGCGCUGUCUCUUUAAAGGGUUACAGUAGGUGACUACGAAUCAUCUGCAAAGUGCGCAAUAGUGACGCAAACCUGACUUCAACGCCUGAAUACACGUCACAAAAUCUGUGUAGAAAAAAAAGUGAACGGAAACGUUAGGUAGGAAGGAAAUUCAUAGCCUACACUCAAGAGGGGACGAAUAAGGGAGAUAAAACAAAAAACAACAACAAAAAAAAAACGACAUAGUUGAAUAUAACGGCAAAAAUAAAACGAUAGUUAGUGGAGGUACGAGGGCAUCUACAGGAAAGAAAGGAGAGCGCGAGUGUUGCCAUGUCUAGCUGUUAUAAGCGACUUGGUCCUUGUUUUCUCACUUAGAAAUAGGCGGGUUUUAGGCUAAGAAUACACAGUUGACUGAUUCGUCGUUAUUUAGUGUGAAAUAAGUAUGUUUAAACGAAGUCUUUGGGGAGCUGAGGGAGCGUUUCUGCUCCUCUUCAGAUAAACUGCAGAGGAAAUGGACCAUUUCCUACAAAACCUCUAUUUUGUUUCGAAGCCUGUUAUAAGGAAUAAGUUCCAUGCUAAAUGAAUGUUUGUUUUUUUUGUUUGUUUUUUUUCUGUCAGGACCUGGCAACAACUACGACAGUUAUCUUCACCGGAAAUCUCCCGGUGUCACACAUUCACGAGAAAGUUUACAGCGAAGAUUCGGACGGCAUUGUACAUUAGAUGCUUCACUUACAGCGACAUAGAAAAUAGACUUAAUUCACGAAAUGUAUAUACAUACAUUGCAAAAAUACAUAUUUCUAAUAUGUCUGUGUUUACCGAAAAGUUAAUACGCAAUGAGGUAAACGUAUAAUGAAUAAUAGGCUAAUGCAAAUUCUAACUUCACAAAUUAAUUUUCUACUCUUCUUAGAUCAUAUUCUUUAAUUUAACUCGCGAAAGCAAGCUUUUUUUUCAUCAUCAAAUGCAUUGUCCAAUAGACUGUUCCCUUUAAAGGGUCUUCAUGCUGCCCACGUGCGAAAAAAGUGAGUCACACUGCAGCAAGUUUCAGGUCGCCUGCAAUGUACCGUACAUCUUUUAAUAAAUACGCAUUUAAAAUAUUGUCUGGAAAAAGAACUUAUGAGACUUUAGUGUUUGGCAACCAUCAGGUCAUUUCUAAAUGAACUUCCAGGCUGUCACCGUGCCAUUUUCAACCAAACAGUUUCAAAUCACACUUACCUUGAAACACAGGAGUCCUCGCCAAAAUUGCAGUCGAUUUUCAGGCGGCUGUCCGUUUUCUAGUAAGCUGGCGCUCCAGGAGGAUGGCUCGAUGUACUGCGUAAUGAGAAGUUCUUAGUGUCUCCAUUUGGGCCACUGUCUGCACUCGUCACGCUCGUCUUGUCUUCUUUUUCCUGGUAGAAACAAGCAGCUCUCGAGCGCUUUUCCAUCUACCG